AGAGUUCUAAAUAAGUUUUUUACUGUGUUCGUCUUUUUGGUGGGGAAUAAAGAGUUGAGUAUUUAUACUGAGGUCAGUUGCUUUGGGAUAUAUGCACAUCUUUUAGUAUGUUGUCAGUGAAUACAUUUAUUAUGUUUUCAUCCUGGUUUUACCCCAUGAGUAUCCAGAUGAAAAAAAAAAAAAAGCUGAAUCUGUAAAGCAUACUUUGUGUUCUUCUAUGGAACAUUUCACUUGUAAAAUGUAUUUGUAUUAUAUUUAAUUCCCAUAAUUUUAAAAUUAGAAAUUUAGGUGACUUCUAAAGAUUGGUGAUGAUAUUUGUAUGCAACUAAUUUUUGACAUAAUCUUAACAGAGGGUUUCUGAGCAUCAUCUAACUGUGGGAGUUUCUCAUAUAUCUGGUGAGGCCUAUCAGAGAGAAAAGAGAGUAGAUGGAUAUGGAGAAGAUGUAGAAAUUGUAUUUCCUCACAAGAGUGGAUCAAGAAACUUGACAUUGGAUAAACCGAAAGAUACAGGAAAAGAAGUUUCAGCAUGGUCUCACAUUGGUAUGAAAAAAAAAAAAAAUAAAUAAAUAUAUAUAUUAGCUUCUAAUAUAGAAGUGUGUAUCUGAAUAAAUUACAUAAGGUAAAUUUCUUGAUGAGAAAU
Molecule: long non-coding RNA, 640 nt
Filed under: Marmota marmota marmota (Alpine marmot)
Lineage: Eukaryota; Metazoa; Chordata; Mammalia; Rodentia; Sciuridae
Description: lncRNA (ENSMMMG00000009562.1)
Source: RNAcentral